CCUUCGAUAGCUCAGUUGGUAGAGCGGUGGACUGUAGACGGUUUGAAAUAGGCAUCCAUAGGUCGCUGGUUCAAAUCCGGCUCGAAGGA
Molecule: transfer RNA, 89 nt
Filed under: Operophtera brumata (winter moth)
Lineage: Eukaryota; Metazoa; Arthropoda; Insecta; Lepidoptera; Geometridae
Rfam family: tRNA
About the family: Transfer RNA (tRNA) molecules are approximately 80 nucleotides in length. Their secondary structure includes four short double-helical elements and three loops (D, anti-codon, and T loops).
Source: Rfam by way of RNAcentral